Molecule: non-coding RNA, 353 nt
Organism: Paramuricea clavata
Lineage: Eukaryota; Metazoa; Cnidaria; Anthozoa; Malacalcyonacea; Plexauridae
Source: the annotation of a GenBank genome assembly
UUGAAACAUGACACUUAAUUUUGAAGCUCAGAUCAAUGGUCUUGGUAAAAACAGAUCGUGUAAUUGCACUCUCCCCUUGACUAGUAAAAUUGUCUGGCGUUAGGUAGAUUAAAAUAAUACAGUAAGGCAUAUCAAGACACAUUGCCACUUGUGAAGGGUUAACAUAUGUGUACUGUAUAUGAUAUUUUUGUGAUGUAAAGAUGUAUAAUGUAUCAUGAUAAUGUCAUUUUUUAUUUUGCAGAAAUUAUAUGCAUGUUUAGUAUACACAAGAGAUGGCACUGCGGCAUCAACAGGCAGAAAAACAUGCAGAACAACAAGAUGAAUUAGUUAAUUAUAAUACCAUGCAUAACAAC